Molecule: long non-coding RNA, 633 nt
Organism: Seriola aureovittata
Lineage: Eukaryota; Metazoa; Chordata; Actinopteri; Carangiformes; Carangidae
Exons: 3
Source: RefSeq, a predicted model, not a curated record
GGCGUCGUUACCGGAGAUGCAUCGCGGCUGAAGGAGGAAACGCAACAGCAAAAUCAUGUGCAGUUCUUCAGCUCCACACCAAGAGCAACUGUUCGACAGCAGACUAGAGUGGAGCACAGACCAUGAUGUUUAGUUCCCAGGUAUGCAGGUGAGGGAAACACAAAGGCUGAUGGGACAACAGGAUAAGGAUACAAAAGGACACGAUUGCCCUGCAGGCCAAACUGGCUCUUUUACAUUUUUCUAUCAAGCAGUCUCUGAACUGGCAAGGCCCUUAUCACAUCCAUGGAUGAAUGACCGAGUGACAGCUGGGACAUGAGAAAAGCUGUGUGACUGAUGAAAUUACGUUAUGCCUAUGAGUCAUAUGAGAAAAUCUAUGUCUGCAUUUGCAUCGGGCUCUGGAUUCUUCUUUUGUCACUAUGUAAAGAGCUAUAUAUAGAUUUUGUAUGUACAUGUCCUGUACAAAAACAUUAAUUCAUCAAAUGCUUAGCAAGUCUCACUCCUACAGCCUCUCCUCCUCAUUCACCCUCCUACUUCGAUGCAUAUGACUCUUGUGCCUGUAUUAGUCACAACGCCUUUCAAAAAAUAGAGAAAAAACAAGUUGCAACAGCAUGACUGUUUAUGACAUAUUUUGUA